CAUGCAGUCGAACGGAAACGAUAGGUACUUGUAUCUAGGCGUCGAGUGGCGUACGGGUGAGUAACGCGUAGGAACCUACCCAGUAGCGGGGGAUAGCCCAGAGAAAUUUGGAUUAAUACCGCAUAUGCUCUACGGAGCAAAGAUGGCCUCUAUUUAUAAGCUAUCGCUAUUGGAUGGGCCUGCGUUAGAUUAGCUAGUUGGUGGGGUAAAGGCCUACCAAGGCAACGAUCUAUAGCUGGUUUGAGAGGAUGAUCAGCCACAUCGGGACUGAGACACGGCCCGGACUCCUACGGGAGGCAGCAGUGGGGAAUAUUGGACAAUGGGCGCAAGCCUGAUCCAGCAAUGCCGCGUGUGUGAAGAAGGCCUGAGGGUUGUAAAGCACUUUCAAUUGUGAAGAAAGGUUGUUAGUUAAUACCUGACAACUGUGACGUUAACUUUAGAAGAAGCACCGGCUAACUCCGUGCCAGCAGCCGCGGUAAUACGGAGGGUGCAAGCGUUAAUCGGAAUUACUGGGCGUAAAGGGUUCGUAGGCGGUUAUCUAAGUCAGAUGUGAAAUCCCUGGGCUUAACCUAGGAAUGGCAUCUGAAACUGGGUGACUUGAGUUUAAGAGAGGAGUGUGGAAUUUCCGGUGUAGCGGUGAAAUGCAUAGAGAUCGGAAGGAACAUCAGUGGCGAAGGCGGCACUCUGGCUUAAAACUGACGCUGAGGAACGAAAGCGUGGGUAGCAAACAGGAUUAGAUACCCUGGUAGUCCACGCCCUAAACGAUGUCAACUAGCCGUUGGAUCCAUU
Molecule: ribosomal RNA, 789 nt
Filed under: uncultured bacterium
Lineage: Bacteria
Description: bacterial SSU rRNA
Rfam family: Bacterial small subunit ribosomal RNA
Source: RNAcentral